RNA transcript from Dipodomys spectabilis (banner-tailed kangaroo rat), 515 nucleotides. It is a transcript of the gene named translationally-controlled tumor protein-like, with no coding region annotated. The transcript has a single exon. The record is from RefSeq and is a predicted model, not a curated record. Lineage: Eukaryota; Metazoa; Chordata; Mammalia; Rodentia; Heteromyidae.
AUGAUCAUCUACAGGGACCUGAUGAGCUGUUCUCUGACGUCUACAAGAUCCCGGAGAUCGCAGACGGGCUGUGCCUGGAGGUGGAGGACAAGAUGGUCAGUAGGACAGAGGGUACCAUUGAUGACUCGCUCAUUGGUGGAAAUGCCUCCGCUGAAGGCCCCGAGGGCGAAGGUACCAAACGCACAGUAGUCACUGGUGUGGACAUCAUCAUGAACCAUCACUUGCAGGAGACCAGUUUCACAAAGGAAGCCUACAAAAAGUAUAUCAACGAUUAUACGAAAUCACUUCAGGCGAUCUUGAAGAACAGAAACCUGAAAGAGUAAAGCCUUUUAUGACAAGAGCUGCAGAGCAAAUCAAGCACAUCCUUGCUAAUUUCAGUAACUACCAGUUUUUUAUUGGUGAAAACAUGAAUCCAGAUGACAUAGUUGCUCUUCUGGACUACUGUGAGGAUAGUGUGACCCCCAUUUCUGAUUUUCUUUGAGGAUGGUUUAGAAAUGGAAAAAUGUUAACAAAUU